CAGCCCGGUAAUUCCAGCUCCAAUAGCGUAUAUUAAAGUUGUUGCAGUUAAAAAGCUCGUAGUUGAACUUCGGGAUCAAUUAGUUGGUCAUGCCUUGGUAUGUACUGAUUUUAUUGGUUCUCACCUUCUAAAGAACUAUAAUGUCAUUUAUUUGAUGUUAUAGGGAAUUAGGACUGUUACCUUGAAAAAAUUAGAGUGUUUAAAGCAGGCUCACGCUUGAAUACAUUAGCAUGGAAUAAUGAAAUAGGACAUCGCAUUCUAUUUUGUUGGUUUCUAGGAUCGAUGUAAUGAUUAAUAGGGAUAGUUGGGGGCAUUAGUAUUCAAUUGUCAGAGGUGAAAUUCUUGGAUUUAUUGAAGACUAACUACUGCGAAAGCAUUUGCCAAGGAUGUUUUCAUUAAUCAAGAACGAAAGUUAGGGGAUCGAAGACGAUCAGAUACCGUCGUAGUCUUAACCAUAAACUAUGCCGACUAGGGAUCGGAUGAUGUUGAUUUUUUAAUGACUCAUUCGGCACCUUACG
RNAcentral lists this unclassified non-coding RNA (518 nucleotides) under uncultured Glomeromycotina. Its description in RNAcentral is "SSU rRNA". It matches the Rfam family "Eukaryotic small subunit ribosomal RNA", at positions 571 to 1092 of the family's 1831-position model. Lineage: Eukaryota; Fungi; Glomeromycota. The record is from RNAcentral.